Molecule: transfer RNA, 85 nt
Filed under: Patescibacteria group bacterium
Lineage: Bacteria
Description: tRNA-Ser
Rfam family: tRNA
About the family: Transfer RNA (tRNA) molecules are approximately 80 nucleotides in length. Their secondary structure includes four short double-helical elements and three loops (D, anti-codon, and T loops).
Source: RNAcentral
GGUGAGGUGGAUGAGUGGUCGAAGUCAGCUCACUGCUAACGAGUCGUACCGAAAGGUACCGCGGGUUCGAAUCCCGCCCUCACCG